AGUGAACGCUGGCGGUAGGCCUAACACAUGCAAGUCGAACGGCAGCACGGUAAGAGCUUGCUCUUACGGGUGGCGAGUGGCGGACGGGUGAGGAAUACAUCGGAAUCUACUUUUUCGUGGGGGAUAACGUAGGGAAACUUCCGCUAAUACCGCAUACGACCUACGGGUGAAAGCAGGGGAUCUUCGGACCUUGCGCGAUUGAAUGAGCCGAUGUCGGAUUAGAUAGUUGGCGGGGUAAAGGCCCACCAAGGCGACGAUCCGUAGCUUGUCUGAGAGGAUGGACAGGCACACUGGGACUUGGACACGGUCCAGACUCCUACGGGAGGCAACAGUGGGGAAUAUUGGACAAUUGGCGCAAGGCUGAUCCAGCCAUACCGGGGUGGGUAAGAAGGCCUUCGGGUUGGUAAGCCCUUUUGUUGGGAAAGAAAAGCAGCAGGUUAAUACCCCGCUAUUCUGGCGGUACCCAAAGAAUAAACACCGGGUAACUUCGUU
Molecule: ribosomal RNA, 492 nt
Filed under: uncultured bacterium
Lineage: Bacteria
Description: partial 16S ribosomal RNA
Rfam family: Bacterial small subunit ribosomal RNA
Source: RNAcentral